GGCGAACGCUGGCGGCGUGCCUAAUACAUGCAAGUCGAGCGGACCGGAUUGGGGCUUGCCUUGAUUCGGUCAGCGGCGGACGGGUGAGUAACACGUGGGCAACCUGCCCGCAAGACCGGGAUAACUCCGGGAAACCGGAGCUAAUACCGGAUAACACCGAAGACCGCAUGGUCUUCGGUUGAAAGGCGGCCUUUGGGCUGUCACUUGCGGAUGGGCCCGCGGCGCAUUAGCUAGUUGGUGAGGUAACGGCUCACCAAGGCGACGAUGCGUAGCCGGCCUGAGAGGGUGACCGGCCACACUGGGACUGAGACACGGCCCAGACUCCUACGGGAGGCAGCAGUAGGGAAUCUUCCGCAAUGGGCGAAAGCCUGACGGAGCGACGCCGCGUGAGCGAAGAAGGCCUUCGGGUCGUAAAGCUCUGUUGUGAGGGACGAAGGAGCGUCGUUCGAAGAGGGCGGCGCGGUGACGGUACCUCACGAGAAAGCCCCGGCUAACUACGU
This 500-nucleotide ribosomal RNA is filed under the name uncultured bacterium. RNAcentral's name for it is "partial 16S ribosomal RNA". It matches the Rfam family "Bacterial small subunit ribosomal RNA", at positions 28 to 506 of the family's 1533-position model. The record is from RNAcentral.